RNAcentral lists this long non-coding RNA (204 nucleotides) under Homo sapiens (human). RNAcentral describes it as "non-protein coding lnc-NRG3-1:1". Lineage: Eukaryota; Metazoa; Chordata; Mammalia; Primates; Hominidae. The record is from RNAcentral.
GUUAACUAGAGCCUAUCCUACUGGGGUAGUAUCAAAGCCUAACAGACCAGGGGACAGAAAUAUCAAAUUCCGGUAACUUUUAGACUUCCAUGUGUGAGAAAGGAGCUACUCAACUCCAGCCCACUCUAGUCAUUCUGUCCCACCUAAAGAAAAGAAGAAGAAAAAGAGAAAGAAACAAGAAAUAUUUGAAAUGUAGAAUUCCGU